This 477-nucleotide long non-coding RNA is filed under the name Homo sapiens (human). RNAcentral describes it as "LNC_000427". Lineage: Eukaryota; Metazoa; Chordata; Mammalia; Primates; Hominidae. The record is from RNAcentral.
CUGGCAUCAACAUAACAGGGAUUUGAACAUGGCUCAGUUCAUUGAUCGAGUGGUUUACCCCCCACAUGAGGACGCUGAGCAGCGGGUCGCUGGCCCGAAACAGCUUCACUUUCUGCGCUACGAAGUGCUUCUUCUUGGUCUUGGUCUUGCUCGCCAGGACAGAGGACCCUAGGUUGCCGGGGGUCGCCAUGGCCGCCUCCUAUGUCCCCUCCACCGCCGUGCUCCCGAGGCCGGGGACCCGCCCUCUCUACACCCCGGCCCGGGGAGGCAGCCGCAUCCCCCCGGCGGCGGCCCCGGCGCGCCGCGCUCCGCUCCGCCCGCCGCCGCCGGCGCGCUCAGCCCCACUCGGCUCGCUCCGCCCGCUCGGCCCGGCAGACUGCGCUCGGCUCGCGCCCCGGCCCGUAUCCUGCGCCCGCCGCGGAUCCGCGCUCAGCCCGCGGCUGGACCCGGCGCGCGGCGAGCGGCUUCCGCGUUGGG